RNAcentral lists this ribosomal RNA (502 nucleotides) under uncultured bacterium. RNAcentral's name for it is "partial 16S ribosomal RNA". It matches the Rfam family "Bacterial small subunit ribosomal RNA", at positions 28 to 507 of the family's 1533-position model. The record is from RNAcentral.
GACGAACGCUGGCGGCGUGCUUAACACAUGCAAGUCGAACGGUGAAGGGGCCUGCUUUUGUGGGCCCUGGAUGAGUGGCGAACGGGUGAGUAACACGUGAGUAACCUGCCCCCUUCUUCUGGAUAACCGCAUGAAAGUGUGGCUAAUACGGGAUAUUCUGGGUCUGUCGCAUGAUGGGUCUGGGAAAGAUUGCGCCUUUGGGUGUUUUUGGUGGGGGAUGGGCUCGCGGCCUAUCAGCUUGUUGGUGGGGUGAUGGCCUACCAAGGCGGUGGCGGGUAGCCGGCCUGAGGGGGUGGACGAUCACACUGGGACUGAGACCCGGCCCCCUCUCGUACGGGGGGCAGGGGUGGGGAAUACUGCACACGGGAGGCUGGCGUGAUGCAGCGACGCCGCGUGAGGGAUGGAGGCCUUCGGGUUGUAAACCUCUUUCGCCAGUAAAGCAGGCCUGCUACUUGUGGGUGGGUUGACGGUAGCUGGAUAAAAAGCGCCGGCUAACUACGUG